GCAACGCCGCGUGAGGGACGAAGGCCUCUGGGCUGUAAACCUCUUUUCUCAAGGAAGAAGAUAUGACGGUACUUGAGGAAUAAGCCACGGCUAAUUCCGUGCCAGCAGCCGCGGUAAUACGGGAGUGGCAAGCGUUAUCCGGAAUUAUUGGGCGUAAAGCGUCCGCAGGCGGCUUUUCAAGUCUGCUGUUAAAGCGUGGAGCUUAACUCCAUCAUGGCAGUGGAAACUGAAAGGCUUGAGUAUGGUAGGGGCAGAGGGAAUUCCCGGUGUAGCGGUGAAAUGCGUAGAUAUCGGGAAGAACACCAGUGGCGAAGGCGCUCUGCUGGGCCAUUACUGACGCUCAUGGACGAAAGCCAGGGGAGCGAAAGGGAUUAGAUACCCCUGUAGUCCUGGCCGUAAACGAUGAACACUAGGUGUCGGGGGAAUCGACCCCUUCGGUGUCGUAGCUAACGCGUUAAGUGUUCCGCCUGGGGAGUACGCACGCAAGUGUGAAACUCAAAGGAAUUGACGGGGGCCCGCACAAGCGGUGGAGUAUGUGGUUUAAUUCGAUGCAACGCGAAGAACCUUACCAGGGUUUGACAUCCUGCGAACCUCUUAGAAAUUUGAGGGUGCCUUCGGGAAUGCAGUGACAGGUGGUGCAUGGCUGUCGUCAGCUCGUGUCGUGAGAUGUUGGGUUAAGUCCCGCAACGAGCGCAACCCACGUUUUUAGUUGCCAGCAUUUAGUUGGGCACUCUAGAAAGACCGCCGGUGAUAAACCGGAGGAAGGUGUGGAUGACGUCAAGUCAUCAUGCCCCUUACACCCUGGGCUACACACGUACUACAAUGCUACGGACAAAGGGCAGCAAACUCGCGAGAGCUAGCAAAUCCCAUAAACCGUGGCUCAGUUCAGAUCGUAGGCUGCAACUCGCCUACGUGAAGUAGGAAUCGCUAGUAAUCGCAGGUCAGCAUACUGCGGUGAAUACGUUCCCGGGCCUUGUACACACCGCCCGUCACACCUAUGGUAUAGUUGGCCUAUGCCCGUAAGUCGUUACUCCA
Molecule: ribosomal RNA, 1035 nt
Filed under: uncultured marine bacterium
Lineage: Bacteria
Description: bacterial SSU rRNA
Rfam family: Bacterial small subunit ribosomal RNA
Source: RNAcentral